This 256-nucleotide ribosomal RNA is filed under the name uncultured bacterium. RNAcentral's name for it is "partial 16S ribosomal RNA". It matches the Rfam family "Bacterial small subunit ribosomal RNA", at positions 524 to 777 of the family's 1533-position model. The record is from RNAcentral.
UACGAAGGGGGCUAGCGUUGUUCGGAAUUACUGGGCGUAAAGGGCGCGUAGGCGGUGUGUCAAGUCAGACGUGAAAUCCCCCGGGCUUAACCUGGGAAUGGCGUUUGAAACUACGGAGCUGGAGUGUGGCAGAGGGAGGUAGAAUUCCACGUGUAGCGGUGAAAUGCGUAGAUAUGUGGAGGAACACCGGUGGCGAAGGCGGCAUCCUGGACCGGCAUUGACGCUGAGGCGCGAAAGCUAGGGGGAGCAAACGGGG